Molecule: ribosomal RNA, 349 nt
Filed under: uncultured bacterium
Lineage: Bacteria
Description: bacterial SSU rRNA
Rfam family: Bacterial small subunit ribosomal RNA
Source: RNAcentral
AGAGUUUGAUCCUGGCUCAGGAUGAACGCUAGCUACAGGCUUAACACAUGCAAGUCGAGGGGCAGCAUGUUGGUUGCUUGCAACCAACGAUGGCGACCGGCGCACGGGUGAGUAACGCGUAUCCAACCUACCCUUGUCCAUCGGAUAACCCGUCGAAAGGCGGCCUAACACGAUAUGCGGUUCACGGCAGGCAUCUAAGGUGAACGAAAUGUGAAGGAGAAGGAUGGGGAUGCGUCUGAUUAGCUUGUUGGCGGGGUAACGGCUCACCAAGGCUACGAUCAGUAGGGGUUCUGAGAGGAAGGUCCCCACAUUGGAACUGAGACACGGUCCAAAACUCCUACGGGAANCA